RNAcentral lists this ribosomal RNA (448 nucleotides) under uncultured bacterium. RNAcentral's name for it is "bacterial SSU rRNA". It matches the Rfam family "Bacterial small subunit ribosomal RNA", at positions 30 to 524 of the family's 1533-position model. The record is from RNAcentral.
AUUAAACGCUGGCGGCAUGCCUAAUACAUGCAAGUCGAACGAAGGCUUCGGCCUUAGUGGCGCACGGGUGCGUAACGCGUGGGAAUCUACCCUUGGGUUCGGAAUAACAGUUAGAAAUGACUGCUAAUACCGGAUGAUGACGUAAGUCCAAAGAUUUAUCGCCCAAGGAUGAGCCCGCGUAAGAUUAGCUAGUUGGUGAGGUAAAGGCUCACCAAGGCUACGAUCUUUAGCUGGUCUGAGAGGAUGAUCAGCCACACUGGGACUGAGACACGGCCCAGACUCCUACGGGAGGCAGCAGUAGGGAAUAUUGGACAAUGGGCGAAAGCCUGAUCCAGCAAUGCCGCGUGAGUGAUGAAGGCCUUAGGUUGUAAAGCUCUUUACCCGAGAUGAUAAUGACAGUAUCGGGAGAAUAAGCUCCGGCUAACUCCGUGCCAGCAGCCGCGGUAAU